UAACUACUCCCUCCGUUCGGAAUUACUUGUCGUGAAAAUGGAUGUAUCUAAAUGUAUUUUAGUUCUAGAUACAUCCAUUUCCGUGACAAGUAAUUCCGAAGGGAGGGAGUAGCUA
Non-coding RNA from Triticum aestivum (bread wheat), 115 nucleotides. NCBI's taxonomy places the organism in Eukaryota, Viridiplantae, Streptophyta, Magnoliopsida, Poales, Poaceae. The record is from Rfam.